CAUCGCCUCCUGCUUAUAGAAACAUAGGAGGUCCCGCCUGCCCUGUGACCAAAAGUUUAACGGCCGCGGUAUUUUAACCGUGCAAAGGUAGCGCAAUCAAUUGUCUUUUAAAUGGAGACCUGUAUGAAUGGCAUAACGAGGGUUUUACUGUCUCUUUUUUCUGGUCAAUGAAACUGAUCUGCCCGUGCAGAAGCGGGCAUAAUAACACAAGACGAGAAGACCCUAUGGAGCUUUAGACGCCCACCAACCGCGAAGAGCCCCCCGACAACGGGCCACCAAAUAACGCGACCAUGGUAUAAACGUCUUCGGUUGGGGCGACCACGGGGGAACACAAAGCUCCCGAGAGGAUUGGGGAUCCAACCCUAAAACCAAGAGCCACAGCUCUAAGUCACAAAACAUUUGACCCAGAAUGAUCCGGCUCAUUGCCGAUCAACGGACCAAGUUACCCUAGGGAUAACAGCGCAAUCCUCUCCCAGAGUCCAUAUCGACGAGAGGGUUUACGACCUCGAUGUUGGAUCAGGACAUCCUAAUGGUGCAGCCGCUAUUAAGGGUUCGUUUGUUCAACGAUUAAAGUCCUACGUGAUCU
Molecule: ribosomal RNA, 586 nt
Filed under: Sardinella gibbosa
Lineage: Eukaryota; Metazoa; Chordata; Actinopteri; Clupeiformes; Clupeidae
Description: partial 16S ribosomal RNA
Rfam family: Bacterial large subunit ribosomal RNA
Source: RNAcentral